CGGGGGCGCUAUCGUGCGCGUCGAGCGGAACGAGUUAUCUGAACCUUCGGGGAACGAUAACGGCGUCGAGCGGCGGACGGGUGAGUAAUGCCUAGGAAAUUGCCUUGAUGUGGGGGAUAACCAUUGGAAACGAUGGCUAAUACCGCAUGAUGCCUACGGGCCAAAGAGGGGGACCUUCGGGCCUCUCGCGUCAAGAUAUGCCUAGGUGGGAUUAGCUAGUUGGUGAGGUAAUGGCUCACCAAGGCGACGAUCCCUAGCUGGUCUGAGAGGAUGAUCAGCCACACUGGAACUGAGACACGGUCCAGACUCCUACGGGAGGCAGCAGUGGGGAAUAUUGCACAAUGGGCGCAAGCCUGAUGCAGCCAUGCCGCGUGUAUGAAGAAGGCCUUCGGGUUGUAAAGUACUUUCAGCAGUGAGGAAGGGGGUGUCGUUAAUAGCGGCAUUUCUUGACGUUAGCUGCAGAAGAAGCACCGGCUAACUCCGUGCCAGCAGCCGCGGUAAUACGGAGGGUGCGAGCGUUAAUCGGAAUUACUGGGCGUAAAGCGCAUGCAGGUGGUUUGUUAAGUCAGAUGUGAAAGCCCGGGGCUCAACCUCGGAACUGCAUUUGAAACUGGCAAACUAGAGUACUGUAGAGGGGGGUAGAAUUUCAGGUGUAGCGGUGAAAUGCGUAGAGAUCUGAAGGAAUACCAGUGGCGAAGGCGGCCCCCUGGACAGAUACUGACACUCAGAUGCGAAAGCGUGGGGAGCAAACAGGAUUAGAUACCCUGGUAGUCCACGCCGUAAACGAUGUCUACUUGGAGGUUGUGGCCUUGAGCCGUGGCUUUCGGAGCUAACGCGUUAAGUAGACCGCCUGGGGAGUACGGUCGCAAGAUUAAAACUCAAAUGAAUUGACGGGGGCCCGCACAAGCGGUGGAGCAUGUGGUUUAAUUCGAUGCAACGCGAAGAACCUUACCUACUCUUGACAUCCAGAGAAGUUAGCGGAGACGCAUGUGUGCCUUCGGGACUCUGAGACAGUGCUGCAUGGCUGUCGUCAGCUCGUGUUGUGAAAUGGUUGGGUUAAGUCCCGCAACGAGCGCAACCCUUAUCCUUGUUUG
RNAcentral lists this ribosomal RNA (1094 nucleotides) under Vibrio aestuarianus. RNAcentral's name for it is "bacterial SSU rRNA". It matches the Rfam family "Bacterial small subunit ribosomal RNA", at positions 40 to 1117 of the family's 1533-position model. The record is from RNAcentral. Lineage: Bacteria; Pseudomonadati; Pseudomonadota; Gammaproteobacteria; Vibrionales; Vibrionaceae.